GGACGGCGCCGGGGCCGCUUGGCCCUCGCGGGGCCCCGUCGCGGCGCGGCGUCCGAGCAACGAGCGGGGAAACGGCUGCCGGGCUGCGCGGCCGGAGGGUGGCGGCGGGUCGGCUGGGCCUGCGGGCGCUCGGACGCGGGGACUCCCCGGGAACGGCGGGCGCGGAGAAACAUGGCACUCCCCACGCUGCCCCCUUCCUGGUGCAGCGGGAGACUCCUGGACGAGCAGGUAGCACGGCAGCGCCACCGAGAGCAGGAGGCCCGGCUUCGGCAGCAGUGGGAUGAGAACAGCCGCUACUUCAGGAUAUCCAACGCCUGCAGCUCCAAACAGGCGGAAUGGAGCUCCCAGGCCUCCUACCAGCGGAGCAUGCACGCCUAUCAGCGCGAGAAGAUGAAGGAGGAGAAGAGGAGGCAGCUGGCGGCCAGGCGGGAGAGACUCCAGCAGCUGCUGCUCGAGGAGCAGGACCUGCUGGCCAGAGAACUGGAGGAGCUGAGGCUGAGCAUGAACUUGAGGGAAAAAAGAAUUCGGGAGCAGCACAGGACUCUCAAGUCAGCCCGGGAAGAGCAAAGGAAGCUGAUUGCUGAGCAGCUUUUGUAUGAACACUGGAAAAAGAACAACCCUGUACUUCGAGAGAUUGAGUCGGACCUUCACAAGAAGCACGUGACAAGCUCUUGGGAAACACAGAAAGAAGAAAAAAAGCAGCAAGAAGCCGUGGAGGAGGAAGAGAACAAACGGUUUGAAAAUGAAUAUGAGACGGCCCGCAGGGAAGCACUGGGACGGAUGAAAGCAGAAGAGGAGAGGAGGCAGUUGGAGGAUAAACGCCAGGCGGAGGCGCUGCUGCAGCAGAUGGAGGAGCUGAAGGUGCAGGAGAUGGAGGCCACCAAACUGAAGAAGGAGCGGGAGAACCUGCUGAAGCAGCGGUGGGAGCUGGAGCGGCUGGCGGAAGAGAGGAAGCAGAUGGCAGCCCUCCGGCAGAAGGCGGAGCUGGGACGUUUUUUGAGACAUCAGUAUAACGUGCAACUCAACAGACGCGCGCAGCAGAUCCAGGAGGAGCUGGAGGCGGACAAGCGCAUCCUGCAGGCCCUCCUGGAGGAGGAGGAGGAGGCGCAGCGGGAGCACUCGGCGCGGCGGGAGCAGGCCCGGGCGGACGUGGCGUGGAUGCAGCAGGCCCUGGAGCAGCAGCUGCAGCGGGAGCGGGAGCAGGAGGCGGAGCUGCAGGUGCUGCUGAGGGAGGAAGCCAAGGAGAUGUGGGAAAAGAGAGAGGCCGAGUGGGCCCGCGAGAGGAGCGCACGGGACAGGCUGAUGGCCGAGGUCCUGACAGGGAGACAACAGCAAAUACAAGAAAAGAUUGAACAAAACCGACGGGCGCAAGAGGAAUCCCUAAGACACAGGGAGCAACUUAUUCAGAACCUGGAGGAGGCAAGAGAGUCAGCUCGUCGAGAGAAAGAGGAGAGUGAGGAACUGAAAUCCGCCAGGAAACAGGAGCUGGAAGCCCAGGUGGCAGAGCGCCAGCGGCAGGCCUGGGAAGCGGACCAGCAGGAGGCGGAGGAGGAGGAGGAGGCGAGGCAGGCGGAGCAGCUCACCAGUGCCCUGCUGCAGCAGGAGGCAAAGAUGAUGGCCAAGCAGGGAUACCGGCCCAAGCCCAAGGAGGGAGGUCCCGACUGCUAAGCUGUGUCCUGGGACCCUGUUUGGGGACAAAUAGCAAUCUUGGGAGAGUGUUGGCCACAGCUGCCUUAUGGGCAUCCCAGAAUUGCUUGGAACUGACUUCCUUGCCACUGGAAGCACAGAGCUGAGGUGCGAAGGCCUUUGAUAUGCAGCAGCAGACGGUGUGACAGCAUCCUGUUCUAGUGUUGGGGUCACUGGCAAUAGCUCAGCGAGCCUGUGCAGGUCCAGGUUACGUGGAUCAAGGGCUGGACAGACGAACACCGGCAGGAGGCCUUCCCUCGUCUCCGAGUCAAGAAAGGGGCUAGGAUCACACGCUGACCGUGCUGUCACGGCCUGUGCUGUUCAUGAGGAAUGCAAGGCUGUAAGUCCAGGCGGAGUUCCAAGUUGUGUCCACGGCAGGAUCCAGGUUCUGCUGUCUCGCCCUUAAUUGUCAGCCUCCAAUGACGCCCCCAGCCAGAGAUCUGAGGGAAGGCUCUUAAUGUUUAAAUCGCCGUUUAAAUGUGUUCUAUUGAAGACAAGCGUGUGGGGUAUUAGUGUAGUGGUCCCAGAAGGGUCCCGUCUUAUUUUCUGAAGAGAAGAACUGUGAACCCUGAGACCGUCUGGUGUGGUCCAGGGGUGCCUUCCGGAACGGGGACGAGCAAAGAGUCUUUGGGAAGCAUUUUGGUGGAAUUUCCAAUGCGCGCUGUGUGGUGGGAGGGGAGUGAGCUGUCACUGAGCCUCAAGGUCGCUUGCAUGGCUCGCCUUGUGAUGUGACACUGUGGACCUUCGGUGUCUUAGGAAGGUCUCGGGCACGUACAGCCUCCUGGGGUUUAUGUGCCAGAGGAAGGGGAGGCAUUGACCUGAGGAAAUGAGAUCAGACUCAGCCACAGACUUCUCUUCCCCGUGACAUCAGUGUGACAUAGUUCUAGAUUAAUCUCCACAAAUAGCUGCAAGAAGUUCCUGGCAGCACAUUUUUAUGACUUGCAUUUUUUUCGUGCCUUUCGGUCAAGUUUCAGUUUUCGUUAUAUUGUGUUCAAGAAUCCCUAUCAGUAAAUUAUAGCUAAUGACUGUUCCACGUUAUUAAAACCAGAGUUUAUUUAAAAAUCCUGAGUGGGAGGGCUGCAUCGCCUUUCACUCCCAUUGUGCUACAAAACAAAUGAAGCUGCAAACGGCAUCCUUAAUCUGUUUCUCAUUUUGUCUUGAGUUUCUUUGGAUAUGAUCCCCUGACACCACUUUCCAUGCAGGCUCAUUUAUUCCCAUUUCAGAUGUCCUUCAUUGUGAAAUAAAGUUGGUUUGACGGCAUCGC
Myotis myotis is the source of this 2950-nucleotide RNA transcript. It is a transcript of the gene named trichoplein keratin filament binding, with no coding region annotated. The record is from RefSeq and is a predicted model, not a curated record. NCBI's taxonomy places the organism in Eukaryota, Metazoa, Chordata, Mammalia, Chiroptera, Vespertilionidae. The transcript is spliced from 14 exons.